CUAGUAGGUGCUAACAUGGUU
This 21-nucleotide non-coding RNA is filed under the name Arabidopsis thaliana (thale cress). The record is from RNAcentral. Lineage: Eukaryota; Viridiplantae; Streptophyta; Magnoliopsida; Brassicales; Brassicaceae.